GACGAACGCUGGCGGCGUGCUUAACACAUGCAAGUCGAACGGUAAGGCCCUUCGGGGUACACGAGUGGCGAACGGGUGAGUAACACGUGGGUGAUCUGCCCUGCACUUCGGGAUAAGCCUGGGAAACUGGGUCUAAUACCGGAUAGGACCAUGGACUUCACGGUUUGUGGUGGAAAGCUUUUGCGGUGUGGGAUGGGCCCGCGGCCUAUCAGCUUGUUGGUGGGGUAAUGGCCUACCAAGGCGACGACGGGUAGCCGGCCUGAGAGGGUGUCCGGCCACACUGGGACUGAGAUACGGCCCAGACUCCUACGGGAGGCAGCAGUGGGGAAUAUUGCACAAUGGGCGCAAGCCUGAUGCAGCGACGCCGCGUGA
This 372-nucleotide ribosomal RNA is filed under the name uncultured bacterium. Its description in RNAcentral is "bacterial SSU rRNA". It matches the Rfam family "Bacterial small subunit ribosomal RNA", at positions 28 to 404 of the family's 1533-position model. The record is from RNAcentral.